GGGGAUUUAGCUCAGCAGCAUAAGCACCUGCCUUGUAAGCAUGCGGUUGUGAGUUCAAUCCCCA
This 64-nucleotide transfer RNA is filed under the name Cavia porcellus (domestic guinea pig). It matches the Rfam family "tRNA", at positions 1 to 62 of the family's 71-position model. Rfam says of the family: Transfer RNA (tRNA) molecules are approximately 80 nucleotides in length. The record is from Rfam by way of RNAcentral. Lineage: Eukaryota; Metazoa; Chordata; Mammalia; Rodentia; Caviidae.